CCGUGUGUUGGUUAGGUAUAUGAGCUUGCCAAUGAGUCUUCUAUAUUCAGAGGUUUCAAUGUCAUUGAGUCGUGUGCCAACGGAGGAGGAAAGCCGAGAUGAGUGAACCAUGGGUGUAGGCAUAGGAACAGAAUUGAUCAUGCCGGUUUCAUGAAGAAGGUCCAAUACGUAUUUUCGUUGACAGAUGUGGAGCCCUUGGCUGUUUCUGGCCACCUCCAGGCCCAGAAAAUAGGUGAGGUCUCCUAGGUUUUUGAUCUUGAAUUGAGUGUCCAGCAGAGAGGUGAUAUGGGCAAUUUCCUCAUGAUCGUUUCCAGUAAGCACCAGAUCAUCAACAUACACAAGAAUAAUGGUAAUGUUAGGUCCAUUAUGAUGUAAAAAUAGAGAGUGAUCAACAGAGGAUAAAGUGUAUUUAUGUGAAAGUAAAAAUUGAGACAGUUUUGCAUACCAUUGGCGGCCGGCCUGGCGAAGGCCAUAGAGUGAUCUUUGUAAUUUGCAAACAUGUUGAGGAGAUGGGAGUUUGAGGCCUGGCGGUGGUUGCAUGUAGACUUCCUCGAGGAGGUCCCCAUGGAGAAAAGUGUUAUUCACAUCAAGUUGUUUAANN
Molecule: long non-coding RNA, 601 nt
Filed under: Phaseolus vulgaris (common bean)
Lineage: Eukaryota; Viridiplantae; Streptophyta; Magnoliopsida; Fabales; Fabaceae
Description: long non-coding RNA (PVUL_LNC004177)
Source: RNAcentral